This 301-nucleotide ribosomal RNA is filed under the name uncultured bacterium. RNAcentral describes it as "partial 16S ribosomal RNA". It matches the Rfam family "Bacterial small subunit ribosomal RNA", at positions 509 to 807 of the family's 1533-position model. The record is from RNAcentral.
CAGUCGCCGCGGUAAUACGGAGGGUGCAAGCGUUACUCGGAAUUACUGGGCGUAAAGCGUGCGUAGGUGGUGGUUUAAGUCCGUUGUGAAAGCCCUGGGCUCAACCUGGGAAUUGCAGUGGAUACUGGGUCACUAGAGUGUGGUAGAGGAUAGUGGAAUUUCCGGUGUAGCAGUGAAAUGCGUAGAGAUCGGAAGGAACAUCUGUGGCGAAGGCGACUAUCUGGGCCAACACUGACACUGAGGCACGAAAGCGUGGGGAGCAAACAGGAUUAGAUACCCGCGUAGUCCCUGUCUCUUAUAC